UACGAAGGUGGCAAGCGUUACUCGGAAUUACUAGGCGUAAAGGGCAGGUAGGUGGUCUGACAAGUCUGUUGUGGAAGCUCCCGGCUUAACUGGGAGAGGUCAACGGAAACUGUCAGGCUUGAGUGUGGGAGAGGAUAUUGGAAUUCCCGGUGUAGCGGUGAAAUGCGCAGAGAUCGGGAGGAACACCUAUGGCGAAAGCAGAUAUCUGGACCACUACUGACACUCAGCUGCGAAAGCUAGGGGAGCAAACAGG
Molecule: ribosomal RNA, 253 nt
Filed under: uncultured bacterium
Lineage: Bacteria
Description: partial 16S ribosomal RNA
Rfam family: Bacterial small subunit ribosomal RNA
Source: RNAcentral